GACACAGAAUCCGGCAGCAGGCUCCAGGCUCCAAGCCAUCAGCACAGAGCCCGGCCCGAGGGCUGGAACCCCUGACCGUGAGAUCCUGACCUGAGCCGAAGUCGGACGCUUCACCGCCUGAGCCACCCAGGCGCCCCCUAUAACCGUGGGCUUUUAAACGAAUCGUCCAAAUAUGACAGAAGCGGACAUCGUUAAGGGGGCAGAGCGCGUGCUCCCUCCUUCAGCUCUGACGCGAGGUCAUGUCUGCAACCUCCUGAUGGCUCCUCUCGACUGGCACCCUGCCAGUCUGGGGGGACUCCCUACUUUCCAAUAAUAAUAAUAAUAAUAAUAAUAAAACAGCAACCAGAAAACAGCAGCUGUUGUCAAGGAGGUAGGCACCAUUUCCGUGAUUCAUGCAUCCACCUGCCUUGUCUUAUCUUUCGCGCUGUCACCCUGGAUGAUAGAGCCUGAUCAGCCAGCGUUCUCGGUGGAAAAACGGGCUCAGGGCUAUGAAUGACUUUGCCCUAAGAUCACGGAUCUGGGCAGAGGUGAAGCUAUCGGCAGCCAGAGCCCGCUUUCUUCACCAGCGACCCCCCACCCCCACCCCACCCCCGCAGGCAGAGCCGAGGUUUGAAGGCAAGCCAGCUGUUCCAUUCUUGCACAACUCUCGUUCAGAUCUCCUUCCUUGUGCUGAGCCGAACUGCCCCUUCGGGGCCGCAGGGCACACGCAUGCUCCCUUCUCCUCGCCACAGGCCUUGGGAAUUGGAGGACACCACCAGGUCAGCCCUAAAUCUCCUCUUGCAGGCAAAACAAACGCGGCCCCAGUCGGCUGGCUCAUCCUCGGACGCCGUGUUUUCCCAGCCGCCGCGACCUAGUUUGUAAAGGUCCCUCGGAGACCAGGGGGGACCGCCACCCCUCGCUGGAGACCCCUCACUGCUGCAAGCACAGGGCGAGUUGUGACUCCAAGGAGGUCUGGCCACAGGAAUCAGUGGGGCCCCGCGCAAAAUGAAAACGCAAAGUCCCUUUUCAAACGUUGUGGGGAGUUUCAGGCGGCUGACAGUGGACUGGUGAGUCGGCCCCACGGGACCCCGUGUGGCUGCAUGAACUGGCCCUGAUUCUGUGCUCAGGGUCAUUCAACAUGAGCUGAGUAAGGAAGUCAGGUCCGAAUCAAAGCCAGAGAAAGGAUAACACGAGAGCUCGAUAGGGCAUUUCAUCACCUCUGCCCAAUGUAAACGAUGCCAACGUUCUAUUAUAAAUAACAACAUGAACAACAUUUUAUCAUAAGUAACGACACGAACAACCACAACACUUGCAUAGGGGCGCCCGGCUGGCUCAGCCGGUAGAGCGUGCGGCUCUUGAUCUUGGGGCCACGAGUUCGAGCCCCACGCUGGACGGAGAGAUUACUUCAAAAGAAAAGAAAAAAGAAAACAUUGUACAGUGUUCACGAUGUGGCUGGGGGAAUGUUAACCUGAUCUUCGACAUCCUGUUGAGCAUUUUGGAGGAAGCACUCGUAACGACACCACCUCCAGUUUCCAGAGAAGGUUCCUGAAGCGCCUGGGAGGGAGCAACCAUAGCAAAGAGAUCGCGAUUGGAGGGCUCAAACCCAGGAUCACACGGCCACAGAGCCCACGCCCUUUGCAGUUCAACCUCUACCCUUCAGUAGCCCACAUAACAGGAGAGACGUAUAUACACGGAGCUCAGUCUGAGUCCAAUGACCCGUGUCCCUGCAAGGGAAAGCGGAGGGAGAUUCAGACACCCGGAGGAAAAGGCCAGGUGAAGCGGGAGGCAGAGAUUGGAGCGAUGUGGCCACAAGCCGGGGGAGGCGGAGGCUUGCCGGAAGCCACCAGAAGACAGCCACGAGAUGCGUUUCCCCCUCAGAGCCUCCAGAAGGAACCAACCCAGUCAACGCCUUGACUUCAGAUCUCCGGCGUCCAGGACUAGGAGAGGAUCCUUUUCUGUUGCUUUAAGCCGAACAGUCUGUGGUCAUUAGGUAUUACAGCUCUACAUCACUCAUACAGUGCCUUCUUGUGUUUUUAUUUGAUUGAUUUUACGUUUAUUUCUGAGAGAGAGAGCGUGUGCGCGGGGGAGAGAGGGGGGCAGAGGGAAAGAGAGAAUCUCAAGCAGGCUUCCAACGCGGGGCUCGAUCCCACGGCCCUGGGAUCGUCACCUGAGCUGAAAUCAAGAUCGGACGCUCAACUGACUGAGCCACCCGGGCGCCCCUCCUUCUUGUGUUUUCAGAGGUGCUCGUGUGUCUACAGAACAAGCGUACGCAGCUCUGGUUGGAUCUCCAGAGAGCGCUGUCCAGCAGAAACCUAACACACGCGCCAAGUGCAAGCCACACGUGGAACUUGACAUUUGCGAGUCACCGUGUCGGGGCGCCUGGGCGGCUCAGUCUGUUAAGCGUCCGACUUUGGCUCGGGUCGUGAUCGCCCGGUCCGUGAGUUCGAGCCCCGCAUUGCGUGAGCUCAAGUCCCACUUCGGGCGAGCUCGAGCCCCAACUCUGGGCUCCGCACUCUGCACUCUCUCUCCCUCUGACCCUCGCUCACGCAUGCUCUCUCUCUAAAAUUAAAAAAAAAAUUUUUUUUCUUGUAGCCAUGUUAAAAAAAAAAAUGUAUCAGGUGGAAUUAAUUUCUAUAAUCGUAUGAGUUCCCUGUGGCCACUGUAACAAAUUACCCGGAACUUGGUGACUUAGAAGAGUAGGAAUUUAGUCUUUCACGAUUCUGGAGGCCAGAAGUCUGACGCCGAGCCGUUGGCAGGGUUUUGCUCCCUGCCACAGCGUCCAGGAGAAUCUGUCCCUUGCCUCUUCUGGCUCCUGGUGAUGCUGGGAUUCCUUGGCUUGUGGCCACCUCUCUCCAGCCUGCUGUCUCCUCUUCUCCACGUGUCUGUGUAACUCUCCCUCCAUCUCUCACUGAUCAAGAUACGUGUGAUCGCAUUCGGGGUUUACCUGGGUAAUCCCAGGGUAAUCUCCCCAUCUCGAGAUCUUUAACUGUGUCACAAUCGCAAAGAAGGACCCCUUUUCCCAAAAGGCAACACGGGUUCCAGGAAUAGGAACUGAUAUCUUUGGAAUAUUAUGCAGCAUAUUAUAAUAAUGUAUUUGAUUUAACCUAAUAUAUCCGGGUGCCUGGGCAGCUCAGUCAAUUAAGCACAUGACUCUUGAUUUCAGCUCAGGUCAUCAUCCACAGUUGGUGAGACUGAGCCCCGAGUCAGGCUCUCUGCCCUGACAGUGUGGGGCCUACUUGGGAUUCUCUCUCUCUGCCCUUCCCUGCUUGUGCGCUCUCUCUCUCUCUCUCUCUCUCUCUCUCAAAAUAAAUAAAUAAACUGUAAAAAAGAAUAUUUUAACUUAAUGUAUCAAAAACAUUAUCACUUGGGGCGCCUGGGUGGCUCAGUCGGUUAAGCGGCCGACUUCGGUUCGGGUCACGAUCUCGCGGUCCGUGAGUUCGAGCCCCGUGUCGGGCUCUGUGCUGACAGCUCAGAGCCUGGAGCCUGCUUCAGAUUCUGUGUCUCCCUCUCUCUCUCUGACCCUCCCCUGUUCAUGCUCUGUCUCUCCCUGUGUCAAAAAUAAAUAAAUGUUAAAAAAAAAUUAAAAAAAAAAACAUUAUCACUUUCGGGGUGCCCGGGUGGCUCAUUCGGUUAAGCAGCCAGCUCCGGCUCAGGUCACGAUCUCACAGCUCAUGGGUUUGAGCCCCGCGUCGGGCUCUGUGCUGACAC
Long non-coding RNA from Panthera uncia (snow leopard), 3687 nucleotides. RefSeq lists it as uncharacterized. Lineage: Eukaryota; Metazoa; Chordata; Mammalia; Carnivora; Felidae. The transcript is spliced from 3 exons. The record is from RefSeq and is a predicted model, not a curated record.